CGCAGUCCCACUCACAGUCCUGGCCCCGCCUCCAGCCACAGCCCAGGCUCCACACCUCCCGACCCAGGGACCAUCACCAUCAAGGUGUGCUUUGAGGGGGUGAUGUCACCACACUCCCUCCUGGUGGCCGCCCUCACCUCGGAGUUCUUCACCAGUAGCUCCCCCGAGGGCUGGAGGCUGAACUUGCCCUGGGCUCCGGACACGGUCACUGGCUGGCCAUCCUUCUCCCAGCGGAUGUCGGGCUGCGGGCUGCCCCUGGCCACACAGGGCAGGAGGGCGUGGGAGCCUUCCGUGGUGGACAGGGGGCAAAUGACUCGUCCGGGCAGCAGAACGACGGAGCGACCCAGUGACCACCAAGCCUGGCCGGCAGCCAAACCCAGCCACCCGCUCCAUGGCCUCCGACUCAGCACUGGGCACCCAGGUUCCCAUCACCAGGAACUGUGCGGAGCCCGGUUACGCGAGGGACAGGCCACGGGAUCCAGGAGGGCUUCCUGGAGGAGGGUCCAGCCCGCCUCACUCACCCUGCACGGUCACCUGGUAGAGCCUGCGGGUCUCGCCCACCUCGUUGCUCACCACGCACUCAAACUGAGCUGAGUCCUGGGCACUGGGGGCCACAAGCAGCAGGGCAUUGGAGGGCAGGAGGCUAGAUGGAGGGGUAGACAGACAGGGAGCUAACUGACCAGCCGGCCUGGGUGAGCCAGCACGGCCGUCCCGCCUCAGCUUCAGCAGUCUGGAUGCAGACACCCUCCCUCCUGCAUCCGUGCCCAGCCCUGACUUGACAGUGUCUCACAGCCAGCCGUGGUGGCGCAUGCCUAUAAUCCUAGCACUCGAGAGGCUGAGGCAGGAGGGUCGCUGUGAGUUCAAGGCCUGCCUGGACUGCAUAGCAAGACCCUGUCUGAAACCUUCCCUCCCUCAAAAAACACCUUCCAGAAGUUCCUGCUCCUCAAGUUUCAGCUCUUGGGUUUGUGUGGCUUUGUUUCCAUCCCGUUUCUCUGUAACUCUGCAUGUUUGGUGCCCCAGUUUCUCCAACUUCUCCGCGGACUGCUCCGGAAGGCCCAGUCAGGGGGCUCGCCGUACUGAGCCCCUGCUUCCCGGCCCAAGAUGACCACGAGUUAACGGGUCAGGGGUGACCCCUUCAACCCUCCCACAGCCACUGAACAAUUAGCGAAGUGGGGAAACCAAGGGUCCUGGACAGACACAAGGCUGGCCCUGGCCGGCACAUACCUACACCCCUAAGUUUGUGGGGGCUGGGGAUGGAACCCCGGGCCUCAUGCAUACUGGGCAAAUGCUCUACCAUGGAGGAACUACACCCCAACCCUUCCAUGUUUUGUAUUUGAUGUUUGAGAGUGCAAUAAAUAUAACACUUUUGCCGGGCAUGGUAGUGCACACCUGUAAUCCCAGCACUCGGGAGGCUGAGGCAGGAGGAUCAUUGCGAGCUCGAGACCAGCCUGGGCUACAAAGUGAGCUCAAGACCAGCCUGAACUGCAUAGUGAGACCCUGUCUCAAAAAGACAAAAAAAACCAUUUUUGUAUUUUCCCAUUUGGCAUAGAACGUGUAAAGCGUUUGGCCCCCUGCCUGGUCACCCCACUGCUUCAGAGUCCG
This 1602-nucleotide long non-coding RNA is filed under the name Chinchilla lanigera (long-tailed chinchilla). Its description in RNAcentral is "lncRNA (ENSCLAG00000024761.1)". Lineage: Eukaryota; Metazoa; Chordata; Mammalia; Rodentia; Chinchillidae. The record is from RNAcentral.